RNAcentral lists this ribosomal RNA (158 nucleotides) under uncultured bacterium. RNAcentral describes it as "partial 16S ribosomal RNA". It matches the Rfam family "Bacterial small subunit ribosomal RNA", at positions 355 to 507 of the family's 1533-position model. The record is from RNAcentral.
UGGGGAAUCUUGCGCAAUGGGCGAAAGCCUGACGCAGCGACGCCGCGUGAGUGAUGAAGGCCCUCGGGUUGUAAAGCUCUGUGGAGGGGACGAAUAAGCAUUGGUUAAUAUCCAGUGUGAUGACGGUACCCUUUUAGCAAGCACCGGCUAACUCUGUG